Molecule: long non-coding RNA, 3823 nt
Organism: Cyprinus carpio carpio
Lineage: Eukaryota; Metazoa; Chordata; Actinopteri; Cypriniformes; Cyprinidae
Source: Ensembl
GAGCUGCUCCAUGCACAGAGUUGUAACAUAAAACCCACACAAACACACAGGGAGGGGAUCUGUCUUUAAAACAAAAUUACCCACAACCCCCUGCACUCCUUUAUCCAGCAUAUGAAAGGACUAGGCCAAAUGAAUGACAAAAAGGAGAGAAUGGAAACUGGGGUCAGGUUGGCCCAGAGAGGAGGCCCAAAUUCUUCCUCUGGGAUAGAAAGAAACGUUCACAGCCACACAUUGAAGGUUUAAUUAUUUCUUUUACUGGCUUGAACACAUACAUACAUAAAAAUAUUACAGCACUCAUAUUCUCACCGCACAUGAAUCACAGUGUUACAAAUGUUCAAAAAAUUACAAACAAAACAAAACGCACACACAAACAGAAAAAAAGAAAAGCUGAAGUCAACACAAAAGAACAUUCGCAUCACUCGCUGGAGACACAAGAUGAAAAAUAACUUGGUCCACAAAAACAAAAAAAGAAAAAAAAAAUACAACAGCACUUUUACUCAUUCAUAUACACCUAUCCAGUCAUUUAACCCCCAUGUCAUAAAUGUUAUGACAAAUGGUGGGGUAAAACAACUAUACAUCGUGCAAUUUAUUUUUGUUACAAUGAUCUUACCAUCACAAGUAUUAUUCCCCUUUAUUAACAUCAGGAGGAGAGCACUUCAAAUAAGAAAGUGCUCUGAGAUAUCAGAGUCUAUAUAUCCAUAUAUAUAUACUAUAUAUGUAUACACAUACACCCGAUCACAGAGAUACAAACAUCUUUGCAAACGUAAUGUUAUACAAUGUAACACACAAACAGAGACAAUAUAACCUGGAGCUUUUUUUUUUUAUACAAUAGUAUUAUGUUGUGUUCCUUUUUUUCUAUUUAGAAAAAAUAAAAUGUUGACCUGAAGCCAACGAAUUAACAACAGUCAUCAGUGCAAUAUUUUCAACAAGAGUAAAAAUAUCAAGUUUAAGACAAGCGAUGCAUAUUUGUUCUGCCUAUACCAAUCGAAUAGAUGAUCGUGAGAAUCACAUCGGUUGCAUCUCCAGGUACGAGGAGUUCCCGAUUGGUUAACCAGGUUGAGCGACGGGGGGCUGGAAACAUCAGCAACGCCACUGGACUGUGGCAAGACACGAGUGCAAACACACAUGCUCACACAACUGCAUGGGGCUUCUCGCAAAAACAACGACAAAAAAAAAUGAUAUAUCUAACUGAUACUUGUCCUCAUUCACUCACCGUUGGCCAUUGUAUCAAGAAAAAAAAAUUACAUAGAAGCAGCAUUGAAACAAACAUCAGGUGCCAUGACUCUUAAAGGCGGCAGGCAGUCUUUUUUGAACAAAUCUGUCGAUGUUUCCUGCAACAGAAGUCAUAGUCUUCUUCUCAAUGUUCAUGUAGUCCUGCUCAGUAGUAACUAUUGGUAAGCCUCAGCUCCUGCAGUUACCCGACCAGGCACUAGGGGGCGUAAAAGGCUCCACAUUUAUGUGCAACAAAACUCCCUGCAUUUUAAUAGUCAUGCAAUGCAUUUCACUUUUUGUAACUACAACAGAAACCAAAAAUGACAAUGCAAAAAUGAAGCAAUCGGCUGAAAUAAAACCUACAUAUAUAAUGUCUCAACCACGCUUGGCGAAAGAAAAAAUUUUUGUUUUUUUUUGAAUAACCAAUGGAUCUUAAUUUUGGUUCAAGGAGAUAAAUUGUCCCGAGUGAAGAUUGUAAAACAAAAAACGAGGAGGACAGUAAGAAAACAUCAAGUAAAACGACCCGGACAGAGCCUACUGAUUCUGUUGACCAGAAAACGAGCACUAGUGGGUAACUGAGCACAGUUAAGGAGAAGGCUUGAGAAAGAGAGCACAUGAUAUUCGAAUACUUUCAAGUCGAGGUAGCUGAUGCAGAGAACCAGGAUAAAAAGUAGAAGGGGAUGCAUUUUUCCCGGGAAAAAAAGGUGUGCACGUGGGGGGCCGUGGCGCGGAAUCUCCACACGGGACAGUUUAGCCUGUAACGAGUCCGAAGCAGCUUUAGGUCACCCUACAUACUUUUACACUUAGGCUAUAGUCUUAAAAAUAACCACAACAUAAUUUAAAUGCAUUAUCUCAAUGUACCUUCAUAAAUAAAAAGACAAACCCAGCCUGUAUUCACAGUGAUGACCAGGGUGUUAAUUCAAAAUACUGAAAGAAGAUUAUAAAGUGUGUCCCAAAGGCGACUUUCCUGAUGUUUUGAUACAAAAAAGGCGAAAGCAGCGGUUUUUAGUAACAUGUUAACCAUAGACAUGGGUUGCACUGGCCUGAAAGCUGUAUGGAAGCCGUCUGCUAGGUGAAGGCAGAGCGCAAUAGACUACUUGUACAGAGAAAAAACACAGUAAAGCUAUGUGUACAGUACUUAGGAAUGAGUCACUUGUUAUUUCGAGGACAUAUUUCAGCACUGGUCACCAAUGCCACACGAUUUGAUUGAUGAAACGACUUAUGGUUCGUGUUAAAAGAGUGUUUAGCCAAAACAGAGGAUGGCCUUCACACACCUCUUGCAACUAUUCCAGCAUUCAGCCACAGCAUCAAGUGCUAUCUCGAUUUCUCCAGGUGGACAGGUCAACAGGUCAAGCCCUGGUUAAGCCACACAGUCCAGAUCUGAUGACUUACACAUUCAAUAAAAAGCUAUAGUACCAACGCACAUCCCCAACAGCAUGCGUUUCAGUUCCUCUCAUCGCCAGAUCUGACACGGGAAAGAAAAAGGCUACAGCCCUCAUUUGGUUUUAAGGUAUAACACGAUGUCUUGGUGUCCUCCGAAAGCGGCGAUGUGCAACGCGCUCCAGCCCUCCCGGUUCGCCAGCCGUAUAUCGGCUCCGAACUUCACCAGCAGUUUAACGAGCUCCAGAUUCCCGUCGAUCACCGACUGAUGCAGCGCUGUCUGUCCCUCGGGGCCAAACGAAUUAACGUUAAACUCGCAGUUGGUCAUGUUCUGCAGCAGCGAAUGGAGCUCCUUCGUGUUGCCUUUCUUCACCGCCUCCUGGAAGACUCUCUGCGGCGCCGAGCACGUCGAUAUCUCCGCCUGGCUCAUGAUGCUCUCCGCAGCCUUUAUAGUACUGGGAUAGUCGCGGCUUGACUGGACUAAAACCAGCUUAGACGAGUGAGACUAGAAAUAAAACGAGCGUAUAUCCAAAAAAGGACAAGUAAACGACACACUUGGUGUGCAAAUGCAGUCGGUGGCUAUAUAUCCAAAGACCUAGCGAGAAAGUACAAUCAUCCACAAAAGUGUAAUUCUCCGUGUGUGUGAGUGUCUCUCAGUAGCAGCACCAGGUUAUGGCAGAAUAUGGAGUUAUUAAGUGUGGGAAAGCAGGCGUGUAUCUCCGAUUAAGCGCAUCGAGGGCCGUUAGCUUUUAGAGACGUCUGAGGUAACGCUAGUUUACCUCAGGAAAUGUGUCUCUCGCGUCCCGCGGUGCUUUAUUUGGCAAGGGGUAACUGAAAAAACAGAGAAACUGUUAAAUCCACUAUUUCACGCUGUCGAGUAGCGGCUUCUUAACGUAAACGGGUGAAGAUGUACUUACUCUUGACGUUUGGACGGGAAGAAGUGACUCAAAAACUGCCGCUUGGCCGCUGUUGUUUGUCCGUCGCGCGGUCCCGGUGAUUCUCUGCCCAGAGCUGCGUUGCCAGGGAGAUAUUUUAGACGAACUAGUUUGCAUAACAAUACGUCUGCAUAGAACCAAGUAUUGUGGAAUGGGAGGACUGGGCGACGCUGAUUGGCUGCAUAGUUGGCUUGGGGGCGUGUCCAAGCGUUGGGGGGCGUGGCCCAGUGGCUAAACAUCCCACAGCAAUAAACCGACUGCGUUAUUAUGUUAAUAUGCUCUUCGGCGAACCAAAU